AGAACGAACGCUGGCGGCAUGCCUAAUACAUGCAAGUCGAACGAACUCUUCGGAGUUAGUGGCGCACGGGUGCGUAACGCGUGGGAAUCUGCCCCUUGGUUCGGAAUAACAGUUGGAAACGACUGCUAAUACCGGAUGAUGACGAAAGUCCAAAGAUUUAUCGCCAAGGGAUGAGCCCGCGUAGGAUUAGCUAGUUGGUGAGGUAAAGGCUCACCAAGGCAACGAUCCUUAGCUGGUCUGAGAGGAUGAUCAGCCACACUGGGACUGAGACACGGCCCAGACUCCUACGGGAGCAGCAGUAGGGAAUAUUGGACAAUGGGACGAAAGCCUGAUCCAGCAAUGCCGCGUGAGUGAGUGGAAGGUCCGUUAGGUUGUAAAGCCUUACUUUACCCGAGUAUGAUAAUGACAGUA
This 411-nucleotide ribosomal RNA is filed under the name uncultured soil bacterium. RNAcentral's name for it is "bacterial SSU rRNA". It matches the Rfam family "Bacterial small subunit ribosomal RNA", at positions 26 to 462 of the family's 1533-position model. The record is from RNAcentral.